This is a long non-coding RNA of Photinus pyralis (common eastern firefly), 1395 nucleotides long. RefSeq lists it as uncharacterized. NCBI's taxonomy places the organism in Eukaryota, Metazoa, Arthropoda, Insecta, Coleoptera, Lampyridae. The record is from RefSeq and is a predicted model, not a curated record. The transcript has 2 exons.
AAUUUCGGAAUGGAGAUAGAAGUGCCGAAAGGAUGGAAACGGGUGCCUCAAUUUCUCCAACCUCUGAAUACUGAAUAUUUAUCGAGAUCGGACUAUAAAUAAAGGAAAUAUAACGAUAUGUAAUUUGACACCAUUGAAAACACUUAAAACGCGAUAUCUCGUAUAUUUACACACGUGCGCAUACUGAGAGAUCAAUAUAUGCUGCACCGCUCUUAUAAAAUAUGACAAUAGUAAUUAUUUGCCGCAACCAGGUAUCGUGUAUGUGCACCUAUAUACUAAAGUCACUAGAUAUAGAAAGUAACACAAUCAUCCGCCAUUUUGGUGAAAAUUUGCUGCCAACUUAAAAAAAUUUAAAAAUAAAAACUGAAUAUCAGUAAUUUUUUAUAGCCUAACUUCAUAGUACUGUCAUGUUUUAUAUAAAUAUAAUCCCAUCUCUAAACAGGUGAUACAAUCCCCAACAUUAAAGUUACUAGAAUUUUUUUGGGCAAAAAUUAUGCUUUCUCUCUUUAACACACGAGCCAAAUGGAUUGCGGUACUUUCUAUAUUUAUCCAAUACAAAAUAUAACCUAUAAUUUCACAAACUAUAAUUUCUAAUUCUUAUUACUAUCGUUCCUUUCAACACGACUUUUUUCAAGACUACCAGUUUCUUUCGAAUAUUUACAAGUUGUAGCGUGUAAUAGGCAAUAGGUUUACUUCGACAAGCCUUUUACUUCUUAGAAGAGAAUAAGAUGCGUUUGCAGUUCUGUUUCCGUAAUGGAACUAAAGAUGAAAGUGAAGUUUGAGAGUACUCGAUACGUUUGUGUAUACAGGAGUUUCGAUAAACGGAUGUCAACCGUGACGAGGAUUACAACAAUAUACGCCGAAAUGCUCGUCGUUUACUUGAACGGUUUCACAUACAGGAAGUCUUGCUUCUGGGAAGUCACCUGGCCGCUUAGCGAUUGCUAAUAAGGCGUUUGUAAAAGAUAUUCUUGCUCGUCUUGAACAAAGUCGAAAAAAGCAACUGCGAUAAUUUGUCCCACUAACGGAUAUCUCAUACGGAACGUGUGACACUAUUGCCUGGAGAAAAUUGUACUUCUAUCCUUUAAAGUAACCGUGUUACAAGAACUCAUCGUCUGGACUUGCAAAGUCCUAAAAUAUUGCAUGCAAAUUUACUAGAUGUCAACGUAUUCGAAACCGUUUACACACCAUUGCCGAAUUACGAGCAGAUAUAGAAGCUACCGUUUGAAGCAUUAUGCAACGGCACUUACAUGCCGGCUUCGAAAACAAAGAAAAGAGUGGACCCCUGUCUUAAUUAUGGUGACGAGAUCUUCGAACAGUUGUUUAUAACAUGUGAUUUAUCCAAUUACUUCAAUAUUAACGAUUUGUAAAAGAAAUAAAAUUGUUUCAAUUGUUGUA